RNAcentral lists this non-coding RNA (21 nucleotides) under Caenorhabditis elegans. The record is from RNAcentral. Lineage: Eukaryota; Metazoa; Nematoda; Chromadorea; Rhabditida; Rhabditidae.
UUUCUUUUCGAAAGGUAUUUC